ACGACGACGAAUUUUGGGUUCCUGGAGGAAUUUCGGGAUCUUCGAUUGCGGAUCCUUUUCUAAGCGAAUCCAGUUUACGAUCGGACGUAAAGACGCGUAGAACGAAUUCAUUCCUGAUUUUUCAUAUUAUUUUUUUAUAUCAGGAGGGAAAGCUUUUUUUCUGAUAAUUGAUCUACUUGAUCGACCGUUAUCGGUCUCACAUACUUUGUUGAUUGUGUGGUGGAGUGAAUUGAAUAAAAGACAAAAUCGAAGAUGCCACAGGCGGCACACGAAACGAAAAACAUUCUUACCACUUACUUGAUUCUCAUUUUACUUUUGAUAUCAUUAUGGUUACUUUACUCGGGGAUAUUUUAAUCCCUUAUAAUUAUUUUUUUUUUCUCAUAAUGGGUUGAAGUAUGAAAGACGAAUAAUGCGAGUUUCUCGAAGACUGGACAACUUUCUUCAUUGAUAUAAUCUGAGAAUUGUAAACAUCAAUUAAACGUUUCCGGAUUCUUCUUGAUCUCGCUAUCGGAAUAUGAUCACCGAUUUGCAAACACGCAAUAUUUAAUUUAAGUUUUAAUUAAGUUUUAAUAAUCGAAAUGAAAUAAUGUUAAGGAAAAGAAAAAAA
This is a long non-coding RNA of Polistes dominula (European paper wasp), 607 nucleotides long. RefSeq lists it as uncharacterized. Lineage: Eukaryota; Metazoa; Arthropoda; Insecta; Hymenoptera; Vespidae. The record is from RefSeq and is a predicted model, not a curated record.